This 71-nucleotide transfer RNA is filed under the name Craterognathus plagiotaenia (barcheek trevally). Its description in RNAcentral is "tRNA-Pro". It matches the Rfam family "tRNA". Rfam says of the family: Transfer RNA (tRNA) molecules are approximately 80 nucleotides in length. Their secondary structure includes four short double-helical elements and three loops (D, anti-codon, and T loops). Further hydrogen bonds mediate the characteristic L-shaped molecular structure. tRNAs have two regions of fundamental functional importance: the anti-codon, which is responsible for specific mRNA codon recognition, and the 3' end, to which the tRNAs corresponding amino acid is attached (by aminoacyl-tRNA synthetases). tRNAs cope with the degeneracy of the genetic code in two manners: having more than one tRNA (with a specific anti-codon) for a particular amino acid; and 'wobble' base-pairing, i.e. permitting non-standard base-pairing at the 3rd anti-codon position. Lineage: Eukaryota; Metazoa; Chordata; Actinopteri; Carangiformes; Carangidae. The record is from RNAcentral.
CAGAGAAUAGUUUAAUGUGAGAAUCCUAGCUUUGGGAGUUAGGGGCAGGAGUUAGAGUCUCCUUUUUCUGA